Small nucleolar RNA from Magnolia sinica, 81 nucleotides. NCBI's taxonomy places the organism in Eukaryota, Viridiplantae, Streptophyta, Magnoliopsida, Magnoliales, Magnoliaceae. The record is from RefSeq and is a predicted model, not a curated record.
GAGCAAGUGAUGAUGAUUGUAUGAAUCUGAUACUUCUUUCCAUGAAGUUUCAAAUAUCGAGCUUUUUAAAACUGAUGCUCA